CAGGCAAAAAGUUAAUGGCGAAGUGUCGAAUGCUUAUCCAGGAGAACCAAGAGCUUGGAAGGCAGCUGUCCCAGGGCCGUAUUGCACAGCUUGAAGCAGAGCUGGCUUUACAGAAGAAAUACAGUGAGGAGCUUAAAAGUAGUCAGGAUGAACUGAAUGACUUCAUCAUUCAACUUGACGAAGAAGUAGAGGGUAUGCAGAGUACCAUUCUAGUUCUUCAGCAACAACUGAAGGAAACACGGCAGCAGUUGGCUCAGUACCAACAGCAGCAGUCUCAAGCUCCAGCCCCAAGUACUAGCAGGACUACAUCUUCUGAACCUGUAGAACAGGCAGAGGCCACAAGUAAAGACUGCAGUCGUCUGGCAAACGGACCAAGUAAUGGAAGCUCCUCCCGUCAGAGGACGUCUGGGUCUGGAUUUCACAGGGAGGGGAACACAACCGAGGAUGAUUUUCCUUCUUCUCCAGGGAAUGGUAAUAAGGCCUCCAACAGCUCAGAGGAGAGAACUGGCAGAGGAGGUAGUAGUUACGUAAACCAACUCAGUGCGGGGUAUGAAAGUGUAGACUCUCCCACGGGCAGUGAAAAUUCUCUCACACACCACUCAAAUGACACAGACUCCAAUCCUGACCCUCAAGAGGAGAAAGCAGUGAGUGGGAAAGGUAACCGAACUGUGGGUUCCCGCCACGUUCAGAAUGGCUUGGACUCAAGUGUAAAUGUAUAGGGUUCAGUUUUGUAAUAUUUUUCCAACAAAUUUUAUACAGUGUCUUUAAUUUGGGAGAGGAUACUGUCCAGAAAAUUAAUGCAUACUUUUGUCACAAUUUGCCUUUUCGUGGGUGUGUGUUUUUGUUUUGUUUGGUUCCUUUUUUUUUUUUCCCCUUCCCCAACCCCCUGCUUCAAUACCUCUGCCACUUUGAAAAUUGUAACAGUUAAUUACUUUGAAUGUUGCUAAAAGGACAUUUUGUGUAGGGUCAAGUUAUUUUUAUAUGAGUUAAUGUGAAGUUGUAAAUGGGAAUCUUUCCAUAAAGUAUAACAAUGGUAUCUGUAUAUAUCUGUGUCUAUCUAGAACCUGUGCUGUGUGAGGGCAUUCUUAUCCAUGCUGUUAUAUACAUAACACACCAUUCAGACUUGUUAGAGUAGCUGUGGGUUUAUGACUGCCAGGUUUGCCCAGUACAGUAGUUUUUAUCACUAAAAGUUGGACUUGUUGAUGGAGUCCUAUAGUAGUUUCAAUGUUAGAUACAGUUUUUUCCACCAUACAUCUGUGCAUUUAUCUUUAGGUGACUGAAUGUUUAAGAAUUUGUGUGCAUAGUUACUCAGUUUUUAUGAACUGUUGUAUCCUGUUAGUGCAUAUUGCUCUGUGACUCCAGUAUACCUUACCUGUACUGACCAAACCUAAAUAAAGAUUUUUAUUGUAAAAA
This is a non-coding RNA of Castor canadensis (American beaver), 1413 nucleotides long. The record is from RefSeq and is a predicted model, not a curated record. NCBI's taxonomy places the organism in Eukaryota, Metazoa, Chordata, Mammalia, Rodentia, Castoridae.